GAUGAACGCUGGCGGCGUGCCUAAUACAUGCAAGUCGAGCGAACGGACGAGAAGCUUGCUUCUCUGAUGUUAGCGGCGGACGGGUGAGUAACACGUGUAUAACCUACCUAUAAGACUGGGAUAACUUCGGGAAACCGGAGCUAAUACCGGAUAAUAUUUUGAACCGCAUGGUUCAAAAGUGAAAGACGGUCUUGCUGUCACUUAUAGAUGGAUCCGCGCUGCAUUAGCUAGUUGGUAAGGUAACGGCUUACCAAGGCAACGAUGCAUAGCCGACCUGAGAGGGUGAUCGGCCACACGGGAACUGAGACACGGUCCAGACUCCUACGGGAGGCAGCAGUAGGGAAUCUGCCGCAAUGGGCGAAAGCCUGACGGAGCAACGCCGCGUGAGUGAUGAAGGUCUUCGGAUCGUAAAACUCUGUUAUUAGGGAAGAACAUAUGUGUAAGUAACUGUGCACAUCUUGACGGUACCUAAUCAGAAAGCCACGGCUAACUACGUG
Molecule: ribosomal RNA, 497 nt
Filed under: uncultured bacterium
Lineage: Bacteria
Description: partial 16S ribosomal RNA
Rfam family: Bacterial small subunit ribosomal RNA
Source: RNAcentral